RNAcentral lists this ribosomal RNA (465 nucleotides) under uncultured bacterium. RNAcentral's name for it is "bacterial SSU rRNA". It matches the Rfam family "Bacterial small subunit ribosomal RNA", at positions 330 to 792 of the family's 1533-position model. The record is from RNAcentral.
CCCAGACUCCUACGGGAGGCAGCAGUGAGGAAUAUUGGUCAAUGGGCUUACGCCUGAACCAGCCAAGUCGCGUGAGGGAAGACUGCCCUAUGGGUUGUAAACCUCUUUUGUCAGGGAGCAAUUGGCGCUACGUGUAGCGUUAUCGAGAGUACCUGAAGAAAAAGCAUCGGCUAACUCCGUGCCAGCAGCCGCGGUAAUACGGAGGAUGCGAGCGUUAUCCGGAUUUAUUGGGUUUAAAGGGUGCGUAGGCGGAGUGUCAAGUCAGCGGUAAAAUUUCGGGGCUCAACCCCGUCGUGCCGUUGAAACUGACGCCCUUGAGUGAGUGAGAAGUAAGCGGAAUGCGUGGUGUAGCGGUGAAAUGCAUAGAUAUCACGCAGAACGCCGAUUGCGAAGGCAGCAUACCGGCGCCCAACUGACGCUGAAGCACGAAAGCGUGGGUAUCGAACAGGAUUAGAUACCCGAGUA